Molecule: unclassified non-coding RNA, 238 nt
Filed under: uncultured fungus
Lineage: Eukaryota; Fungi
Description: sequence contains ITS2
Rfam family: 5.8S ribosomal RNA (bases 1-52)
Source: RNAcentral
AACGCACAUUGCGCCCCUUGGUAUUCCGAGGGGCAUGCCUGUUCGAGCGUCAUUAUAACCACUCAAGCCUGGCUUGGUAUUGGGGUCCGCGGUCUCGCGGCCCUUAAAAUCAGUGGCGGUGCCGUCUGGCUCUAAGCGUAGUAAUUUUUCUCGCUACAGGGUCUGGUGGUUGCUUGCCAUUAACCCCCCAUUUUCUCAGGUUGACCUCGGAUCAGGUAGGGAUACCCGCUGAACUUAA